ACGUAGGGUGCAAGCGUUGUCCGGAAUUAUUGGGCGUAAAGAGCUCGUAGGCGGUUUGUCGCGUCUGCUGUGAAAUCCCGAGGCUUAACCUCGGGCUUGCAGUGGGUACGGGCAGACUAGAGUGCGGUAGGGGAGAUUGGAAUUCCUGGUGUAGCGGUGGAAUGCGCAGAUAUCAGGAGGAACACCAAUGGCGAAGGCAGAUCUCUGGGCCGUAACUGACGCUGAGGAGCGAAAGCAUGGGGAGCGAACAGGAUUAGAUACCCUGGUAGUCCAUGCCGUAAACGUUGGGCGCUAGAUGUCGGGACCUUUCCACGGUUUCUGUGUCGUAGCUAACGCAUUAAGCGCCCCGCCUGGGGAGUACGGCCGCAAGGCUA
This 374-nucleotide ribosomal RNA is filed under the name uncultured bacterium. Its description in RNAcentral is "bacterial SSU rRNA". It matches the Rfam family "Bacterial small subunit ribosomal RNA", at positions 525 to 896 of the family's 1533-position model. The record is from RNAcentral.